Molecule: transfer RNA, 72 nt
Filed under: Camelus bactrianus (Bactrian camel)
Lineage: Eukaryota; Metazoa; Chordata; Mammalia; Artiodactyla; Camelidae
Also listed under: 2 other names
Rfam family: tRNA
About the family: Transfer RNA (tRNA) molecules are approximately 80 nucleotides in length. Their secondary structure includes four short double-helical elements and three loops (D, anti-codon, and T loops).
Source: Rfam by way of RNAcentral
GAGGGUAUAGCUCAGUGGUAGAGCGCAUGCUUAGCACGUACGAAGUCCUGGGUUCAAUCCCCAGUGCCUCCU